This 1252-nucleotide long non-coding RNA is filed under the name Monodelphis domestica (gray short-tailed opossum). RNAcentral's name for it is "lncRNA (ENSMODG00000041085.1)". The record is from RNAcentral. Lineage: Eukaryota; Metazoa; Chordata; Mammalia; Didelphimorphia; Didelphidae.
AUGUUUGCAGAGGUGCAGGACUAAGUUUCCUUGGAAACGGUGGCUGCUCUUCCCUUGGCCUGGGAAGCAUACUCCCUUCUCUUCUGGCCUAAAAUCUUUCACAGAAAACAUUGUUCAUAUUCAUUAUGUCUCCCCACCCUACCCAUACCCCCUAGGUGACUGCUUUGCUUCCUCCCUGAGCCCACCAGCCUUGGCAGCUUGCCACUGAUUGGAGAGUGUGAGUCUGUGAUCUGAGUUUGAUGUGAAGUCUGGCCACUCCACUGCAGGCAGAACUGAGGCUACAUGCUUGUGAAUGAUGAAGUACAUUGAGAAGAAACUCCUGCCUUCCCCUUAUCGAUAGGAAAUCUAGGCAAUGGUUCAUCCUGGAACAUCGAAUACUAGUGUCUUCCUGAUCAAUGAGCUGUUGAAUGAUGGAAAAGGCAUUGCAUUAAAUGCUUGGGAUACAAAGCAAAAGGAGAAAACAGUUCCUGACCUCAAGAAGCUUAUGUUCUAUUGGGGGAGUCAAAAUAUAAAUAAAAAGAUGAGGAAACUUGAGGUGAAGAAAGGUCAGAAUUUGCCCAGAAUCACACAGCUGACAAGUGUUGGUGACUAUAUUUGAAUUUAUGUUUUCCUGUCUCCAAGUCUAGUGUUCUUGGGCACUACAUUGCCUUCCUUCCUUCCUUCCUUCCUUCCUUCCUUCCUUCCUUCCUUCCUUCCUUCCUUCCUUCCUUCCUUCCUUCCUUCCUUCCUUCCUUCCUUCCUUCCUUCCUUCCUUCCUUCCUUCCUUCCUUCCUUCCUUCCUUCCAUCCUUUCUUUCACACUACACUACAGUCUUGGGAAAAUUGCCUUUCUUCUGUAGGGAGUCCUGAUCUCCCUUAUAGAAUGGAGGGGUGAUGAUUAUAUGAUCUCUAAAUUGGAGUAAUUAUUCAAAUUAUGUCAUCUACAGGCUCCUUGGGAUCCUGAUGUUUAAUGACCACAGCUAAAAGAUGCAGUUAACAGACACAUCAGCCAUUCCACCCUCCAAGCAUUUGAGAGGCCAUCUGCACACACACCACCAAGCCUUCUGCCACCAGGAAGUGGUCACUUCCUCCUUUGCUGCAGAGUAUCCUCAUGGUAAGUGGCCCGCAUUCAGGAUUCAUACUCAAUGCACAAUUUAUGCUCCCACACUCUAAUUGGGAAUUAUGUGAAGUCACCAUGCUAUAAGCUUUUUGUGUCUGAGUGAAACUCUCAAGCUGCCAGUUCUUCAAUGAAUAAAAAUGAACUGUUUACUUCA